Molecule: ribosomal RNA, 253 nt
Filed under: uncultured bacterium
Lineage: Bacteria
Description: partial 16S ribosomal RNA
Rfam family: Bacterial small subunit ribosomal RNA
Source: RNAcentral
UACGAAGGGGGCUAGCGUUGCUCGGAAUCACUGGGCGUAAAGCGCACGUAGGCGGCUUUUUAAGUCAGGGGUGAAAUCCUGGAGCUCAACUCCAGAACUGCCUUUGAUACUGGGAAGCUUGAGUCCGGAAGAGGUGAGUGGAACUCCGAGUGUAGAGGUGAAAUUCGUAGAUAUUCGGAUGAACACCAGUGGCGAAGGCGGCUCACUGGUCCGGUACUGACGCUGAGGCGCGAAAGCUAGGGGAGCGAACAGG